CUUAAACCAGUGACAUACAUAUCAAACACUAAAAGAAUGAAACGGAAAAUGCCGACAUGAUACGCACAAACAGCAAAUGAAAAAUAAAUUAGAACAUGGUAAACAGAGAUAAUCAAAUUGAAAAAAAACCACUUGAACCUCGAUGGAUGACGUUGAUCUUGCUACAUAUCCAGUUGUUUUCCGUAUUGAGCUCGAGACAUUGAGUAUCGUUACACACAAUAAUGACGAUGAAGACGGAGUAACUUACCGUUGAAGAGAGGUUGACAGCGUGAGAUGCAGAUUCAAUACCGUUAAUGGUGCGGUUGAGUUCGGAAACAGAAACAAUGUUGUCGUUGGUUCGUGUUGCUGAAACGGAAUGUCAACACGGCGUCGUUGUUAGUUGGAUGGAGUUCUGUCCAAAAAUAACAAGGUUAAUGCGCGGUAGCUCUUCGAAUCGGACCGAGUUUCGUGGUUGGGAUUUGAAGAGAAAGUCGUUCACGAUGUAGAUCGGCAGACCAAUAGAGAAGUGGUUUCGGUUGUUUGUUUGGUGGCGGAAGAGGGUUCAAAGGGGAUUUCGGCGAUUGAGAAUGAGAAAGGGAUAAUCGUAUUGGUGAGCUUGGUUUUUCAUCGGUGAAGACGAUAAAGGUGGUGGUGAGCGGUGAAGCAGAAGGUUUGUGUGGGUUUCCGGCGACUGGAAGAAGGUCGUCGCCGGCGUCGCUGAAUGUUCAGAGUGAUGGGUUGUUUUAUGAUGGUGAAGGCAAGACAGCGAGUUGAAGAAAACUGAGGGAGUGAAGCGAAUAUUGUGGUGCGGUUGUGUGCCGACGGAAGGAGAAAGAAGAAGACAUUCAGAAAGAACCCUUUUCUUGUGUCUGUUGGGUUUUUUUUAGCCAAUGAGAGAGAAGAGUAUCCUUUUCUUUUCUUUUCGUUGAGAGUCUCUGAGUGUGAGGUACUGAAUAGUGAGUGGGUUAUAUGAAUGAGGUGAGACUGAGAAAGAGUUAAAGUGAGUGAGGUGAUAGGUGGCGUGUGUUGAGAGAGAUGGAGGUAGCGUGAAGGUAAGAGAUACGCAAGCUGGAUACCAGCUGUCAAAAAAAGAGAAUCCAAUGUAAAUUUUAUUUUAUUUUUGAGGAAAACAAUUACUAUUAUAAAAAAUCCUAUUAAAAAUUUCUAAUAACUAUUUUGAUUUGUUAACCUAAUAAAAAUAGUGAUCGAUUAUAAAUAUAAGUCGGAUAUAAAUUUGCUCGAAAAAUUAAAUCAAACACACUAAAAUGAUCAGCACAAAAUAUACUUAUUGAAAAAAUACAGCGUUUCCUCAAAUUCUGAAAUAAAUUUGCACCGGUCAAAAGGCUUAGGCGGGUCAAAAUGUAAUCGAAACAGUCGCUAAAAAAAUACAACGAGCACACCAAGUUAAACUACGUGAACAGUAGAUUAAUAAUAAUGGUGUCUGCAAUUUUAAAUUUGAAACUUUUUACCCGCUGAUUUUACAUGUUCUUGAGAAAUGAUUUAACCAAUUUGUCUGUAUUUUCAAUAAAUUUAUUCUAACUGAUAUUUUAGAUUUUAUUCAUGAUGAAAUGCAUGUCAUGUUGUGCAUAUGAUGCAAAUUAAAAAUAAAAUCAAUUUUACAAAAAUUUAAAUAUGUCCGGACAAAAUUGGGGUAUGAC
Molecule: long non-coding RNA, 1637 nt
Filed under: Lathyrus oleraceus (garden pea)
Lineage: Eukaryota; Viridiplantae; Streptophyta; Magnoliopsida; Fabales; Fabaceae
Description: Pisum sativum (pea) long non-coding RNA (PSAT_LNC020476)
Source: RNAcentral